UACGUAGGGUGCAAGCGUUAUCCGGAUUCACUGGGUUUAAAGGGUGCGUAGGUGGGCAGGUAAGUCAGUGGUGAAAUCUCCGGGCUUAACCCGGAAACUGCCAUUGAUACUAUCAGUCUUGAAUACCGUGGAGGUAAGCGGAAUAUGUCAUGUAGCGGUGAAAUGCUUAGAUAUGACAUAGAACACCAAUUGCGAAGGCAGCUCGCUACACGAAUAUUGACUCUGAGGC
Molecule: ribosomal RNA, 229 nt
Filed under: uncultured bacterium
Lineage: Bacteria
Description: partial 16S ribosomal RNA
Rfam family: Bacterial small subunit ribosomal RNA
Source: RNAcentral